GAGAACUGUAUUUCUGAAAGAUGGAAUGAAGGAGUAACGUCCUGAAACGUCUUCCCUAAUACUCCGAUAUGCGAUUAGAUUCUAACUAAA
Molecule: non-coding RNA, 90 nt
Organism: Cetobacterium somerae ATCC BAA-474
Lineage: Bacteria; Fusobacteriati; Fusobacteriota; Fusobacteriia; Fusobacteriales; Fusobacteriaceae
Source: Rfam